Molecule: long non-coding RNA, 3192 nt
Organism: Malaclemys terrapin pileata
Lineage: Eukaryota; Metazoa; Chordata; Testudines; Emydidae
Exons: 2
Source: RefSeq, a predicted model, not a curated record
CCUUACUACGUAGAGGGGUUGUACCUUGCUGCGUAGAGGGGUUGCACUUCAAUACGUCAGGAGUGAUGUGUAACUUGUUUGUAUCUGUGUAUAAGAAUGCAUCCCUGAGUGGAUAUCUUUGUCCAGCCUAGGGGGCAGUGGAAAGUCCCGCCACUGACUGAGCUGAGUCCAUUGUCAGGGAACACAUAAGUACUGGCUAGCCGCACCUUAGCAGCACCUUGGACUUCGUUUGCCAGGGAAAGCUGGAGACUGUGUUUCUCUUCGACAAUAAACCUGGCCGAUGUGCCUUCGUACCUUACUAGAGUCUGUGGUCAUUGGGGGUUCUCUCGGCUCUGCUGUGUCAGCUAUCUGUGCAGAGCUGGGGCAGCACACAGAAGGAACACACGCAGUCGAUUGAUAUCAACAUUGAACAGAGCAGAGCACCACACCGGGAGCAUCUGACGACACUGGUGAUCCCGACCGCUGAUCUGGUUUCCAUGUUUUCAACAGGUUUCCACCUUUGGCUCCCAAACAUAACAAAGCAUCAUGAAAGUAUACCCUCAAAUACCCUCAAAGUAUUUGCAUGUACCUGUAUUUAAAAUUUAUUUUGGUUUAAUUUUAUAGUUGGUUUAAUUUUAUACGCUUUUCUUUUGUUAUGUUAUGUUAAUGGGAAGCAAUGGUUGUGAAAGGUGCCACAAGUACUCCUGUUCUUUUUAAUGGUUGUGAAAGUUUGUGCAUCUAAACAGUUAACAAGAGUGAAGUUGGUAUCUCAAGCAAAUUAACUCUAAAAACCUUGUUAAAAUUAUGUUACUAACUCUUUUGCUGAAACAACGUGUUCGGCAAGGAAAAGCAAUACACCUUCUCAUGGAAGAUUGUGAGCAUUUAUUUUAGCCGUUAAGCAUUACAUUUUGUAUGAAAUAUUAGUAAUGCACCUCAAAUGAAAAAGAAUAUCUAUACAACAAUUGAAAAAGUAUAGCUUGUGUUAUAAAAGGCUCAGUCCCUAUUACCUUGUUCUUAUUACAUUGUAACCAAACUAAGUUAAACUGUGUAUUAAGUUUGGGUUACUGAAAACAAAAACAAAAAACAAAAACUUUACUCUGUUAACUAACAAAAGUUGUUUAAGUUGCAUCCCACAGACUAAAGACACCAGAAGACAUCACGCCACAAAAAUACCAGAUGAUAUCAGUAUACAGUGAAGAAACCCCCAAGCAUCAAGAAAAGAAAAAUGAAGUGCUUUAUAAAUAAAAGACUGGUCAAACACAUCUCUAUCUAUCAUAUAUGGACAAUUAAGUUAACAAUCAGCUAAAAACCACUAGCUGGACCAGAAUAAGCCAUCAUUUAAUUUUAACUUGGUUACUAUGUAAAAACAACUGUAUUAUUGCUGUACUAUUGUUGUACUGUUGUCUUAUUGCUGUAUUGUCUUAUUGCUGUACAACACUUACAAUGUGCAUAACCUUGCUAAACUGUUUAACCAACACACAGGUAAAAAUUAACAAACAAAUGGCAGCAAACAACAUGAAGGCAAGGAAAAAACAAAGUGGUAAACAAACAAAACGUUACAUAGUAACUACAAAUUGGGUAAACAAAUUCCCUGUUAAUACCAGUCAUAAUUUGGGUUACUGACACUGCAUCCUAACUGAGGCACAUGUUAUUCAAAACAAUUUUGUUCAGUGUCUGGGUACCAAUAUUAAAUCCUGACACAGCAAUAUUUGAUAAAUUGGUUACUGUCCAUUCAGCAGGUUAUCUGGAAGACAGCAUCCAUAAUAAACAACUGGAUCUAUGUCAACUACUGGUGUAUCGCAGAGCCGCGCAUCCAGUGGAACAGAGAAGCUAGCCACUUCUGUUUCCUGCCCAGUAAAGUUUACCAGAGGGUGACAACCUGCAGUAAGGGUAACCUAUAACAUGAAUGGACAGUACUGGGUAGUAACUAAUUACAAUAUAUUUAUAUAUAAAGGCCUCAGUGGUAGUGUCACUACUCCAAAUUUCUGUUUUACUUCUUAUAUACAUAGCACUGUGGGACACACUAUCACAAUCCCUAUCCCAAUAUUUCAAAACACUCAGCCUACUACUAAUGAUGAGACAGGUGAUAACUGGAAUUGCCCUAAUAAGAGUGUGUUUCUAUCUGUGUCACCAAAGUAAAAGGGCCAGAGUACAACACUGGACUGGAAAAACAUGGUUAUGCUUGGAUAUAAGAUGGUAUCAUAGGUACACAUACAUACUAUACAUAUAUGCCCAUACACACUCCAAAUAUAUAUGCCAUAUUCAUAUAAUUGAUAUAUAUUAAUUAUUUGGGAGUGCCUCUAAGGCUCAAUCAUAAUACUACAUUCCUCAGUCAUGGUCCCAGGCCCACCAUAAGGAACUAAAAAAUAAUUGGAUAAUAAAAUCUGCCUAUCAGUCGUACGUGGGAAUGUGCAGACUAAAAAGACAGAUGGGGCAUGGGUGUAUGGAUGGUAAAAUGAGGUAACCACAUAACAGCGUUUAGCCCACUAGGUUAUCUUUAGUCCAUGCAUUAUGCUUUUCUGGGAUGAUGGGUAAACAUCCUCCCCGUAAAAAGACAAAAAGUGGGGGAAUGUAGUAAGAGGAGGCCCUGAGAUAUAAACCUUGGUAUCAGAGGCCCGGUAUGAGGCCUAAGGCCUGAACUAAAGUAAUGGUCAAGCCUUUGCUAACAUAAAGCAAAGUUAAGCUGUGAGCCAGAGGCAGGCCCUGCUCACAGAAGCUGGCAAGGAAAGGGCUGAUGCUGCAAAAAGAGACAUACCUAAAAGGUACUGGACACCAGAUAUCAGAACAUUCGCAUACUUGUACAUUCCACACACAACCAGGAACAGGCUGAUCCAUCCCAAUGACAGGGCCAAAAGGGGAAUAUGAUGGAUAGUGUUGUUUUGUUCAAACCAACAUGUACAAGGUGAGAGGCGGCACCUUACUACGUAGAGGGGUUGUACCUUGCUGCGUAGAAGAGUUGCACUUCAAUACAUCAGGAGUGAUGUGUAACUUGUUUGUAUCUGUGUAUAAGAAUGCAUCCCUGAGUGGAUAUCUUUGUCCAGCCUAGGGGGCAGUGGAAAGUCCCGCCACUGACUGAGCUGAGUCCGUUGUCAGGGAGCACAUAAGUACUGGCUAGCCGCACCUUAGCAGCACCUUGGACUUCGUUUGCCAGGGAAAGCUGGAGACUGUGUUUCUCUUCGACAAUAAACCUGGCUGAUGUGCCUUCGUACCUUA